This 406-nucleotide ribosomal RNA is filed under the name uncultured bacterium. RNAcentral describes it as "partial 16S ribosomal RNA". It matches the Rfam family "Bacterial small subunit ribosomal RNA", at positions 30 to 526 of the family's 1533-position model. The record is from RNAcentral.
AUUGAACGCUGGCGGCAUGCCUAACCCAUGCAAGUCGAACUAGUGGCGGACGGGUGAGUAAUGUCUGGGAAACUGCCUGCUGGAGGGGGAUAACUACUGGAAACGGUAGCUAAUACCGCAUACCAUCGGAUGUGCCCAGUUGGGAUUAGCUAGUAGGUGGGGUAAAGGCGCACCUAGGCGACGAUCCCUAGCUGGUCUGAGAGGAUGACCCGCCACACUGGAACUGAGACCGUGUCCAGACACCGCCUGGAGGCAGGAGUGGGGACUAUUUCGCAAUGGGCGCAAGGGUGCUGCAGCCCUGACGCGUGUAAGAAGAAGGCCUUCGGGUGGUAAAGUACUUUCAGCGGGGAGGGGUUGCCCGGAGAAGAAGCACCGGCUAACUCCGUGACAGCAGCCGCGGUAAUUC